Molecule: non-coding RNA, 45 nt
Organism: Schistosoma haematobium
Lineage: Eukaryota; Metazoa; Platyhelminthes; Trematoda; Strigeidida; Schistosomatidae
Source: Rfam
AUCCAGCUGAAGAGUCCUAAAUAGGACAAAACACGUGUUUUGGAU